CGGACGGUGAUCUGAUAAAAAGAUAUGAAACAGACAUAGUGCCAAACACCGAGAUCGACGAAAACCUAAAUACAGAUAAUGUUACUGUAGUAUUUCUAGAACAGUACAGAAUAUUAUCCACCCUUGCAGUCUUUUUCGAUGAAAUGAUUAACGAUGAGAAUGACUAUGAAGGAAACGAAAUUGUCGAAGAGAUGCAGAGAUCAAAACGUCAUUUGUACGGUAUAAUGUGUGACCUCCACACGACCUUGAACAGUCAUAUUCCAGAAUACGUUACAAGAAAUGUGACGGAUGACUGGCAAACGCCGAUGAAUGGCACACGCAUCGGGAGAUAUGUUAAAGGCUUCAUAAUUUCAAACAAUGCCCUAAAUAUUGCAAACAAACUCUCGGAAAUGUACAGUCAACUGAAUUCUAAGAAUAUGAAUGUAUCACAAAGCAAUUUUUAUUUUUAGGUUACUGUAGUAUUUCUAGAACAGUACAGAAUAUUAUCCACCCUUGCAGUCUUUUUCGAUGAAAUGAUUAGCGAUGAGAAUGACUAUGAAGGAAACGAAAUUGUCCUAGAGAUUUAAACAUAUUUCAGAAUUCAUUUUCCAUUGAAUAUCAACACAUUGUUUUCAUUUAUUUUUUUUUUUUCAAUUGAAAUAUGAGACUUUUUUCAAUCAGCGUUGUUAGUAGUCUGACUUGAUGAUUUUAAGUAUCUGCAUAAUCCAUCUUCAUUGUAUUGUGUGAGGAAAUUCAUUCAUAUUAUUCAUGGUUUCAAAAAAUAGAAGAUACAUUGAGUCAUGUGAUUUUUAGUCUAUAUUUACCCAUAUGAAGAUUCCAUUUUACGUUUAUAUUUAAGUAUAUAUAUUUACCGUUUUUGAUUGUGUUUUAUUAUGUUGUGUUUCUGCAAAUAAAUAAAUGUUUCAUAAAAAUGAA
Long non-coding RNA from Ostrea edulis (European flat oyster), 915 nucleotides. RefSeq lists it as uncharacterized. NCBI's taxonomy places the organism in Eukaryota, Metazoa, Mollusca, Bivalvia, Ostreida, Ostreidae. The transcript has 2 exons. The record is from RefSeq and is a predicted model, not a curated record.